Molecule: long non-coding RNA, 1508 nt
Filed under: Sus scrofa (pig)
Lineage: Eukaryota; Metazoa; Chordata; Mammalia; Artiodactyla; Suidae
Description: lncRNA (ENSSSCG00005036155.1)
Source: RNAcentral
AGCCCUCUCUCCCCGGCGCCCCGGCUCCCAGCCUGUCUGACAGCGAGGAGAGUGUGUUCUCAGGCCUGGAAGAUUCUGGCAGUGACAGCAGUGAGGAGGAGGACGGGGCCAGCGGCGAGGAGCAGCACAGCAGGAUGGAGAAGGCCACGGGGCAGCAGGCUUUAACUGUCACGCUGGUGCACGGAAGAUGACCCAAGCCUUGCCCGUGGUCCGUGGGAUUCUGGGCAGCCAUCGUCCCCCUUCUUUUUAACUUUUUAAAAUGGCAAAAUGGUUCCUGUUUGACAAAAAAUGAAAUCCGACACGAGUGCUGUUUAGUAAAGGAUGGAAGUUCCUGUUUGCGUCUUUGCUCCAGGAUGUAACAGAAGACCCGGUAACGACGCCUGACCUGCGCGUAACAUCCGCCCCAGCUGGCGUCAGGGUCCUGCCCGCACUGUCUGCACCGAGCUUCCUGCAAACCUUUGGGCCGGAGGACCCAUCAGGCCUCCACCAGGCUCUGGGGAAUGGGAGCACGUCGGCUUCUCCUGCAGCCCUGCUGGGUUCUGGGACACUCUGCCCUGGGAGAAUCAUCACUCAGGUCACGUCUGGGGUUCAGGGGAGGGUCACAGAUGAGAACGGCUGGGGCUUCCUAACCCCUGUGUGCAGCUGGGGUGACCCGAGUAGCUGGCUAUCCCUGGGCCUGUCUGCCUGUGCCCUCGCUCAGGGCUUCGGGCAGCAUCCUGGGCGGAGCUGCAGGUCCUUUAUGACCUAGACCCGGGGUUCUGUCCGUCACUUUGGGCUGCUCCACUGGGGCUGGCAAACCAGUCACAAGCCCCCCAGAUGUGCAGAGAGUCUUUGCCGUUCAUUGGAAGGAAAGUCAAAGAUUUGUAGCCAUGGCUUAAAACAGCACAGCCAGAGUUCCCAUUGUGGCUCAGUGGGUUAAACAUUCGACUCGUAGCCACGAGGUGCAGGUUCUAUUCCUGGUUUCACCCGGCGGCUUGUGGGCCUUCACAAGCUGCAGUGUAGCUCGCAGGCGCGGCUUGGAUCCAGUGCUGUGGCUGGGGCGUAGGCCGGCAGCUGCGGCUUUGAUUCCAUCUCUAGUGUGGCAAUCUCCACAUGCCGCAGGUGUGGCCCUAAAAGACAAAAAUGCAAGCAGACGCACAGUCACAGGUGCCCCACCGCCCACCGACCCGUGCACAGUAGGCGUCCUUCCCACCCUUCAGAACCGCCUGCCUUUGCCGUGCCCGCUGUAUUUCUCAGCCCCAGGCUCUCAUCUCAGUCAGGCCCAAGCACAGGUGAGGGUCUCGGGCUCCCCCCCACACGGCGCGGGGCAGCCGUGGCCCCGCAGGUGGUGCGGAGCAGUCACUGGUCUGUGAUGUUCCUGAAAUUGGCCGCAGCAGCCAUUUCCUUGUGUGGGGCUGGCUUCUGCCCUUGCUGGGUGGCCUUCCUUUCGCUCAGAUCUGUGGCCUGUUCUCUCUAUGGCCCUUUGAGGCCACACUGGUGUAUUUUCUUUAAAAACCCGGCGGGUCUCC